Molecule: non-coding RNA, 740 nt
Organism: Megalobrama amblycephala (Wuchang bream)
Lineage: Eukaryota; Metazoa; Chordata; Actinopteri; Cypriniformes; Xenocyprididae
Source: the annotation of a RefSeq genome assembly
AGUUCAUGUGUGUCUUUACGUCCUUCAGUGUCUCACACACAGUGCAGCAAAGAACUGCUGAUCUGAUUCAACAUGGACAGAUGCUUUCUGCUCAUUGUAAUUAUGGGAACAGGUUUGGUGUCUGGAGACAAUAUUGAGCCAGAUAAAGAGAAAAAUGUUACCACUAAAGAAACAGAAACUGUCAAGCUGAGCUGCUCAUAUAGUACAACCAGCAAUGAUAUUUGGCUUUACUGGUACAGACAAUAUCCUAACAAAGAACCUCAGUUUUUAUUAUACAAAGGAGCACGAUCAAAUAGUUAUCAACACACCUCUGAUGAUCGGUUUCAGUCGACUACAUCACGAACAUCCACUGAACUCACUAUUACUGAUGUUCGUCUGUCAGAUUCAGCUCUCUAUUAUUGUGCUCUAAGAGUUGAAGCCCAGUGAUACAAAACAUGAAACACGUCGUACAAAAACCUGAAGCUCUUUUCACUUUGAACCGAUCUAGUGAAAACCACAAUCAAAACCACAAUCUAUCCAGCCCCAAAUGUAAUAAAAUAUGUGGUAACACCUGUGUGAAGAGAUUAUAAGCCAUAAAAGAAAACCAGAAACAUUAAAAGAUUAAAGGCAUAAAAACAUAAAAAAGCAUAAAAAUAUUGUUUCAUUAGUUUCCAUUAAUGCAGUAUCAAAUUAGUUCACGUUUAGUCAGCAAAUUCCUCUACUUUAAAUUAAAGGUAGGCCUGAUCCUUUUAACCUGUAAA